Molecule: long non-coding RNA, 1595 nt
Organism: Dromaius novaehollandiae (emu)
Lineage: Eukaryota; Metazoa; Chordata; Aves; Casuariiformes; Dromaiidae
Exons: 3
Source: RefSeq, a predicted model, not a curated record
AAAUGACAAUAUAACUGAAAUUUUCAUUUUUGGGGAUAUUUCCCAGUUUAUAGCUUCUAUUAUAUGAUGAUGUGGGGUGAGAAAAUAGGUGACACUUAAAUAAUAUAUUCAUGUUAGAUUUCAGUCAGCAAUAUUUAUUAGAGGGCAUAAACAUAGCCUGAAAGGCACAGAGCAUUGCUUUAGGUCACUGCCAGACUUCAGUGACAGGGAACAAAUUUGUGGCAUAUGCUCAGUGUAGAUAAUCAAUAGAUUGCCAGCAUUAUAGAAGAAAGUGUUUUCUUCAAACUAGGAAUGCUUACAGGUUUGAGGAUUUUUUUGUUUUUUGGUUUUGCUUUUAAUAGUAGAAAGUCUAUGUGGGAUGAUAUUUUACCUGUUGAAGAUAAUUAGUUUCUCUCUCUUUAAACAUCCAGCAAUCACCUUGACAAUCUUCUUGAUAUGUAACUAAAUAUCCACUGUUUUGUCCUAAGAUUUUUGUGUUUUCAUUUUAAGUUUUGAGUAAUUCCUGGAACUUGUCACGAACAAUGAUUUGCCUGAUUAGUGCAUAUUUACUGGGUGAUGUUGAGAUGAUGUGUUGCCAGUCCUAGGAUAUUAGUGUAGAAUCAUUCAAAUCUAAAAGGAUGUAUCUGGAAGGAAGUGUUCAAAAUUUCUCUCUACAUUAGAUGAAAUUUCCAUUUGAGGGACUGUAAUAACGUCCCCAGAAGAAGUUCCUCUUAAAAUAGCUGGUUAUUACACUGGUGAGUGUUCAAAUCAAGCAGAACCGUAGCAUUGCCAGUACAGAAGCCCAUGGAAAUAAACUCUUAUUUGACCUUGCAGAUACUAACUUCUGACUUCAAAAACUAGGGAACUGGCAGUCAGGUAACAGAAACAUACUAGAAUUGUUUCUGCAAGAGGUUGAGAGUAGGCUGACUGUUUUAGUGCAAUUCUGACUUAAAAGACUUUGAAAACUAAUAGUCUUGUCUUUAAAUUCACAUUUCCAGCUAAGCUUUUCUCUGGAAAGUGUGCAAAUAAAAUAAUAUGGCUGACAUGAAGUAACCUGAAGAAGAAGAGUAUACGCGGACUCCAGUUAUUUUAGUUAUAAUGGUGCUGCUUUCUGCAAAGUUUGUAUUAAUAGGAUGCCAUUGUCUAAUCUUUUUUUCAGUUUAGCACAGAGGUAGCCAUGCUGUCAGAUUCAGACACACAGGGAUUAAUGGCCAAUGCUGAUGUCUCUAGGAAAAAGGCGGAGAGCCUUCUGCUCCAGAAGAUAAUCUGCUGGGAUUUUAUUGAGCCUGAAAGCUUCUUCACUCUCCUGGGCGAAGACAGGGGUCCCAAUUCUUUGUUAGUUUUAUACAGAAAUACGGAAAAGAUUGAUUCUGAUUUCAUUUGAAGACUUCUCUAAGGAGAACAUGCCCCAUUUGGUGCUAUUGACCAUUGCUGUAAGAAAGGCCUAUGGGCCCCCAGUGCUCAUCUAGUUCACAAAAGCAUUCCUGGCUGUGGAGGGCGAGUACAGUGCUACAAGUAGAAGGUAACUGAAAUUAGAAGUACAACAGUAAUGAAAUUUAAUAUAAACAUUUUUGGAAAGUGAUCAGACACUGUGCUGUGGAGGCUGUGAAAUGUGU